GCGUAAUGAAAAUGACUUUUCUUUAAGUUAAUACAAUAGAAAAGACGAAUUACAAAAGCAGCAACACGAGCACUUUGUUUUUCCUCACGAAAUUAAGAUAGAUAGAUAAGUUUUGUUUAUGGCCAUACACAUAAUGUGAAGGCAAAUUCUUUUUUGGAUUUUUUUUUUUUUUUGGUCUGUCUCUUUCUUGUAACAUGUGUAGAUGAUAUGAUCACUUGAUUGUUAUAUGUUCUAGUCCUUUAUAAAAAUGUAGAACGACUUAUUCUUGUUUUUUUAAUGUCUUUUUAAUACGAACUAAUAAUUGAAAAAAUAAA
Molecule: long non-coding RNA, 314 nt
Filed under: Capsella rubella
Lineage: Eukaryota; Viridiplantae; Streptophyta; Magnoliopsida; Brassicales; Brassicaceae
Description: long non-coding RNA (CRUB_LNC004135)
Source: RNAcentral